UGGGGAAUAUUGCACAAUGGGCGCAAGCCUGAUGCAGCCAUGCCGCGUGUGUGAAGAAGGCCUUCGGGUUGUAAAGCACUUUCAGCGGGGAGGAAGGCGGUGAGGUUAAUAACCUCACCGAUUGACGUUACCCGCAGAAGAAGCACCGGCUAACUCCGUGCCAGCAGCCGCGGUAAUACGGAGGGUGCAAGCGUUAAUCGGAAUUACUGGGCGUAAAGCGCACGCAGGCGGUUUGUUAAGUCAGAUGUGAAAUCCCGGGCUCAACCUGGGAACUGCAUCUGAUACUGGCAAGCUUGAGUCUCGUAGAGGGGGGUAGAAUUCCAGGUGUAGCGGUGAAAUGCGUAGAGAUCUGGAGGAAUACCGGUGGCGAAGGCGGCCCCCUGGACGAAGACUGACGCUCAGGUGCGAAAGCGUGGGGAGCAAACAGG
RNAcentral lists this ribosomal RNA (428 nucleotides) under Chloroflexota bacterium. RNAcentral describes it as "Chloroflexi bacterium partial 16S ribosomal RNA". It matches the Rfam family "Bacterial small subunit ribosomal RNA", at positions 355 to 776 of the family's 1533-position model. Lineage: Bacteria; Bacillati; Chloroflexota. The record is from RNAcentral.